AUUGAACGCUGGCGGCAUGCCUUACGCAUGCAAGUCGAACGGCAGCACGGGAGCAAUCCUGGUGGCGAGUGGCGAACGGGUGAGUAAAGUAUCGGAACGUGCCCAGUCGUGGGGGAUAACGUAGCGAAAGUUACGCUAAUACCGCAUACGAUCUAUGGAUGAAAGCGGGGGAUCGCAAGACCUCGCGCGAUUGGAGCGGCCGAUAUCAGAUUAGGUAGUUGGUGGGGUAAAGGCUCACCAAGCCGACGAUCUGUAGCUGGUCUGAGAGGACGACCAGCCACACUGGGACUGAGACACGGCCCAGACUCCUACGGGAGGCAGCAGUGGGGAAUUUUGGACAAUGGGCGAAAGCCUGAUCCAGCCAUGCCGCGUGCUGGAUGAAGGCCUUCGGGUUGUAAACUGCUUUUGUACGGAACGAAAAGGUUUGGCCUAAUAAGCUGAGCUCAUGACGGUACCGUAAGAAUAAGCACCGGCUAACUACGUGCCAGCAGCCGCGGUAA
Molecule: ribosomal RNA, 500 nt
Filed under: uncultured bacterium
Lineage: Bacteria
Description: partial 16S ribosomal RNA
Rfam family: Bacterial small subunit ribosomal RNA
Source: RNAcentral